AUGGAUUUGGAGGAGGGCCCUACCGUCGCGGCCGCCGCCGUUGGUUUGGGCUCGUCACCACCAACGCAUGAUCUUGAGUCAACUCCGAUUGGAUCUCCGGAGGACAUGGUUCCAUCGUACUUUCCUCCCCCGUCCGAUGACGAUCAUGAAAAUGAUCUCGGUCAAGAUUCCAAGCACGAGGACGACCGAGAUCAUGACCACGGUCAUGAUAAGGAUCACGAUUAUCAGUCCACUGGACCCGGCGUCGUCCUCACUGAUGAUCUCAAAAGCAAGAUCAUUAAGCAGGCAAGGGAACCCGCUAUCUUUUCUAAAUGUGCUGUUAUUUGUUAGGUGUUUGUCGUCAUUUGCUGUGUUUUCUUACUUUUUACUCUUAAAAUUGAACCCUAGCACUCUAUGCGCCUUUUAGUGGAGAAUGAAGUUCUGAUGCUAGGACGAUUUAGUAGUUUGUUAUUGGAGUUUGAGCAAUAUUAUUCUCCGUUUCGAUUUUCUUCGAACUGAUAUUUCUUAUGUGGUUAUUGAUUUUUCGUUCGAUAUUAAACCCUACAAACUUUUAAGCUUGCAGUUGGAUUGCGGUAAAAUACAAGAAAGAACGAACAAAAGAAUUUUAUUUUUUUAAAAAGAUUUUUAUACAUUUGGUUAUUGGAACUUUUACUUUGUCCAGCUUAACUGAGUUGUGGAACACUAAAAACAGGGAGACAAGUAUUGUGUUUGGCUCCGCAAAUGGCAGUCUUUUCUAUUUUUUUUCUAAGAGAAGCUAGAAGUCAAGUAUGUUAAAAAAAAAAAGGUUCGAUUUUGGGAAACAGAAAAUAUGUGGUUUUGUGCUAAUUAAUGUCAUGGCUUCGAGAUUAGGUAGAACUUUCACUGUUAAAUUUAAUGGAUAACAAAUUCAAUCAUGACGUUUACAACUUGGAAGUUUACUUGUGGCUUGUAAGUGUGAUAUACGUACCAAAUCAUACUACAUCUUUGCUGUUAAACAAGUAAGGUUUGAAUUUUGUCAUUUUUUUGGCAACUCUUCAUGUUGCAGGUUGAAUAUUAUUUCAGUGAUGAAAAUUUGCUCACUGAUAAGUAUAUGAUGAGUUUGAUUAAGAAGAACAAGGAAGGUUUUGGUAAGUAUUUAAUAUCUAGUUGACGUAUAUAUUCACACUUUAGUUCAGCAUUAAUUUCACAUUGAUACUGAAAAAUGGCUGACAUAAUUCCGACCCAUAUGUGGCUCUGCACAUGUGUGGUAUUGUAUUCUUGUUUUCAAACCAUUAUUUUGUUGAGACAUGUACCACAUCAGUUAUCAGGCAACAUUUGCAAUCCACAUCUUUAAGUUCUUACUUCUGUGAUACUUGAACCCCUUGCAAUGAAUUACUGUCAAACAAUUAAACAUAUAUUUUAAAAUGAACUAUAUGCAUGUGUCCACUCUACUUAUCCUCAAUUCUUCUUUUCCUUCUGUUCUUUAUUUUUUGUUAUGCUGUUGAACAGAAUGACAAGCUUAUUUCUCUUCCUAAAUCCAAAGAAAAAAGUCAAAGCUUAUUUCUUUCCCUUUCCCUUUUGUAUUUAGUUUGGAUAAAAUUAUAGGGAUAUGUUCUGCAUUAAGAUAGCUUGGGAAAAUAAGACUCAUACCUUCUCAACCAAUAAAUGACUUUGUUUUCCUUACAACAUGAAGUGAAAUAGAUAAGAACUGUUUGAAAUAAUUGACAAAUCAAGCAUCUUGAGAUGCUUGCUUUGGUAAUGAAUCUCAGAGAUUCUCUAGAAUAGAGAUGAUGGUGAUGAAAUAAAGCAGGUACUUAUUACAGGCUGCCUACCGUGGAUGUUCAUGGUGUAGCUAAUUUUUCUUGCUGUGCCGAACUUCCGGAGCUCAGUCUGAAUGACUAUGCAACUACUGCUUUCUGAUUUCUCUCUAUUCAUAUAACUAUAUGUUUUUUGAAGACCAGCAUAGACUUCUUUUUUUUUUUUCUUUAAUCUCAAGUUAGUACACUGCAGCGAUGGCUGUGGGAUCUAAUCUAAAGGUGUACUAGUAAGAUGCCUUUCGAUGCCAUAAAAAGUGCAAUUCAACUCUUGAACUUCAAUCGGAGAAAUUAAGCUCUUACGCUUUGAUCUGGAUACAUUCAAGUUCAAUUUAGAACCAUAGAAAGCCUGGUGUAUGUUGAAUAUUA
Molecule: long non-coding RNA, 2141 nt
Filed under: Carica papaya (papaya)
Lineage: Eukaryota; Viridiplantae; Streptophyta; Magnoliopsida; Brassicales; Caricaceae
Description: long non-coding RNA (CPAP_LNC005096)
Source: RNAcentral